GGUUGUAUGGAGUAGUUGGUUAACUUAGGAGAUUCUGAUCUGAGUCUUGCAACAGCAGGACGUGAUAAGACUUUCUCUUGCCCUGGGUUCGAAUCCCAGUACGACCU
This 107-nucleotide transfer RNA is filed under the name Sporisorium reilianum SRZ2. RNAcentral's name for it is "tRNA-Gln for anticodon CUG". It matches the Rfam family "tRNA". From Rfam's summary of the family: Transfer RNA (tRNA) molecules are approximately 80 nucleotides in length. Their secondary structure includes four short double-helical elements and three loops (D, anti-codon, and T loops). Lineage: Eukaryota; Fungi; Basidiomycota; Ustilaginomycetes; Ustilaginales; Ustilaginaceae. The record is from RNAcentral.